Non-coding RNA from Schistocerca piceifrons (Central American locust), 72 nucleotides. The record is from the annotation of a RefSeq genome assembly. Lineage: Eukaryota; Metazoa; Arthropoda; Insecta; Orthoptera; Acrididae.
GCCAAGGUGGCUUAGUGGCUAACGCACCCGCCUGGUAAGCAAGAGGUCUGGGUUCGAUUCCCAGCCUUGGCA